RNAcentral lists this ribosomal RNA (650 nucleotides) under uncultured bacterium. RNAcentral describes it as "bacterial SSU rRNA". It matches the Rfam family "Bacterial small subunit ribosomal RNA", at positions 852 to 1501 of the family's 1533-position model. The record is from RNAcentral.
CUAACGCAUUAAGUACCCCGCCUGGGGAGUACGGCCGCAAGGCUAAAACUCAAAGGAAUUGACGGGGCCCCGCACAAGCGGCGGAGCAUGCGGAUUAAUUCGAUGCAACGCGAAGAACCUUACCUGGGUUUGACAUAUAUCGGAAACGUUCAGAGAUGGGCGCCCCGUAAGGUCGGUAUACAGGUGGUGCAUGGCUGUCGUCAGCUCGUGUCGUGAGAUGUUGGGUUAAGUCCCGCAACGAGCGCAACCCUCGUCCAAUGUUGCCAGCGGGUUAUGCCGGGGACUCAUUGGAGACCGCCGGGGUCAACUCGGAGGAAGGUGGGGAUGACGUCAAGUCAUCAUGCCCCUUAUGUCCAGGGCUUCACGCAUGCUACAAUGGCCGGUACAAAGAGUUGCGAGCCUGUGAGGGUGAGCGAAUCUCAAAAAGCCGGUCUCAGUUCGGAUUGGGGUCUGCAACUCGACCCCAUGAAGUCGGAGUCGCUAGUAAUCGCAGAUCAGCAACGCUGCGGUGAAUACGUUCCCGGGGCUUGUACACACCGCCCGUCAAGUCAUGAAAGUCGGUAACACCCGAAGCCGNNNNCCUAACCCGUUUGGGGGGGAGCUGUCGAAGGUGGGACUGGUAAUUAGGACUAAGUCGUAACAAGGUAACC